UGAACGCUAGCUACAGGCUUACACAUGCAAGUCAGGGGCAGCAGGACAAGCUUGCUUGUUUGCUGGGCGACCGGCGCACGGGUGCGUAACGCGUAUCGAACCUGCCCUAUACUCAGGGAUAGCCUUGCGAAAGUAAGAUUAAUACCUGAUGUUGUUAUUUAUUCGCAUGUUUGAAUAACGAAAGAUUUAUUGGUAUAGGAUGGCGAUGCGUGGCAUUAGCUGGUUGGCGGGGUAACGGCCACCAAGGCGACGAUGGAUAGGGGUUCUGAGAGGAAGGUCCCCCACACUGGUACUGAGACACGGACCAGACUCCUACGGGAGGCAGCAGUGAAGAAUAUUGGUCAAUGGGCGAGAGCCUGAACCAGCCAAGUCGCGUGGAGGAAGACUGCCCUAUGGGUUGUAAACUCCUUUUACCUGGGAAUAACGGGCGCUACGUGUAGCGCUGUGCAUGUACCGGGAGAAUAAGCAUCGGCUAAUUCCGUG
This 483-nucleotide ribosomal RNA is filed under the name uncultured bacterium. RNAcentral describes it as "bacterial SSU rRNA". It matches the Rfam family "Bacterial small subunit ribosomal RNA", at positions 30 to 507 of the family's 1533-position model. The record is from RNAcentral.